AUUGAACGCUGGCGGCAUGCCUUACACAUGCAAGUCGAACGGCAGCACGGGAGCAAUCCUGGUGGCGAGUGGCGAACGGGUGAGUAAUAUAUCGGAACGUGCCCAGUCGUGGGGAUAACGUAGCGAAAGCUACGCUAAUACCGCAUACGAUCUAUGGAUGAAAGCGGGGGAUCGCAAGACCUCGCGCGAUUGGAGCGGCCGAUAUCAGAUUAGGUAGUUGGUGAGGUAAAGGCUCACCAAGCCGACGAUCUGUAGCUGGUCUGAGAGGACGACCAGCCACACUGGGACUGAGACACGGCCCAGACUCCUACGGGAGGCAGCAGUGGGGAAUUUUGGACAAUGGGCGCAAGCCUGAUCCAGCAAUGCCGCGUGCAGGAUGAAGGCCUCGGUUGGUAACUGCUUUGUUACGGAACGAACGGUACGAGGCUCUAAUACAGUUUGCUAAUGACGGUACCGUAA
Molecule: ribosomal RNA, 459 nt
Filed under: uncultured bacterium
Lineage: Bacteria
Description: bacterial SSU rRNA
Rfam family: Bacterial small subunit ribosomal RNA
Source: RNAcentral